This 462-nucleotide ribosomal RNA is filed under the name uncultured bacterium. RNAcentral describes it as "partial 16S ribosomal RNA". It matches the Rfam family "Bacterial small subunit ribosomal RNA", at positions 28 to 507 of the family's 1533-position model. The record is from RNAcentral.
GACGAACGCUGGCGGCGUGCUUAACACAUGCAAGUCGAGCGGAAAGGCCCUUCGGGGUACUCGAGCGGCGAACGGGUGAGUAACACGUGAGUAACCUGCCCCAGACUUUGGGAUAACCCUCGGAAACGGGGGCUAAUACCGGAUACGACACAGCUUCGCAUGGGGUCUGUGUGGAAAGUUUUUCGGUUUGGGAUGGGCUCGCGGCCUAUCAGCUUGUUGGUGGGGUGAUGGCCUACCAAGGCGACGACGGGUAGCCGGCCUGAGAGGGCGACCGGCCACACUGGGACGGAGACACGGCACAGACUAGUACGGGAGGCAGCAGUGGGGAAGAGUGCAAAAUGGGCGGAAGCCUGAUGAAGAGAAGCCGCGUGAGGGAUGACGGCCUUCGGGUUGUAAACCUCUGUCAGCAGGGACGAAGCGUAAGUGACGGUACCUGCAGAAGAAGCGCCGGCCAACUACGUG